This 253-nucleotide ribosomal RNA is filed under the name uncultured bacterium. RNAcentral's name for it is "partial 16S ribosomal RNA". It matches the Rfam family "Bacterial small subunit ribosomal RNA", at positions 524 to 776 of the family's 1533-position model. The record is from RNAcentral.
UACGGAGGGUGCAAACGUUGCUCGGAAUUAUUGGGCGUAAAGCGCACGUAGGCGGCUCGUUAAGUCGGAUGUGAAAUCCCUCGGCUCAACCGAGGAAGUGCAUCCGAAACUGGCGAGCUUGAGUACGGAAGAGGGUCUCGGAAUUCCCGGUGUAGAGGUGAAAUGCGUAGAUAUUGGGAGGAACACCAGUGGCGAAGGCGGCUCACUGGACUGGUACUGACGCUGAGGCGCGAAAGCGUGGGGAGCAAACAGG